UUUGUUUAAAACUGGUAAUCUAACAAUCAGUUUAAAUCUUAAGAUAUCAUUAUCAUCUAUACCACACUCAAAAAGAAAUAUUACACUAUAUGUCUCUUUUAACUUGGAAAACUAUACAAACAGUCUUUAUAGUAAUAAACUAGUUCUCUUCUGAUGUAGACCAAAACAUAAGCUGCUUGACAGGCGCUCAAUAUUUAUCCAUAAUUGUUUUAAAAACUGGAAUUUUGAACAGUCCACUAUUAAUUGUAAUAGAUUAUCUUCAAAGUUAAAUAACUCAUCCGCAAG
RNAcentral lists this long non-coding RNA (285 nucleotides) under Mytilus galloprovincialis (Mediterranean mussel). The record is from RNAcentral. Lineage: Eukaryota; Metazoa; Mollusca; Bivalvia; Mytilida; Mytilidae.